RNAcentral lists this transfer RNA (73 nucleotides) under Candidatus Ryanbacteria bacterium RIFCSPHIGHO2_02_FULL_45_17b. Its description in RNAcentral is "tRNA-Lys". It matches the Rfam family "tRNA". Rfam says of the family: Transfer RNA (tRNA) molecules are approximately 80 nucleotides in length. Their secondary structure includes four short double-helical elements and three loops (D, anti-codon, and T loops). The record is from RNAcentral. Lineage: Bacteria; Candidatus Ryaniibacteriota. RNAcentral also lists the same sequence under 1 other name.
CCGCUCGUAGCUCAGCUGGUAGAGCAGCUCCCUUUUAAGGAGAUGGUCGCAGGUUCGAUUCCUGCCGAGCGGA